UACAGAGGUCUCAAGCGUUGUUCGGAUUCAUUGGGCGUAAAGGGUGCGUAGGCGGCGCGGUAAGUCGGGUGUGAAAUCUUGGAGCUUAACUCCGAAACUGCAUUCGAUACUGCCGUGCUUGAGGACUGGAGAGGAGACUGGAAUUUACGGUGUAGCGGUGAAAUGCGUAGAUAUCGUAAGGAAGACCAGUGGCGAAGGCGGGUCUCUGGAACGCAACUGACGCUGAAGACGCGAAAGCGUGGGGAGCAAACAGG
This 254-nucleotide ribosomal RNA is filed under the name uncultured bacterium. RNAcentral's name for it is "partial 16S ribosomal RNA". It matches the Rfam family "Bacterial small subunit ribosomal RNA", at positions 524 to 776 of the family's 1533-position model. The record is from RNAcentral.